UGAUUGAUUAGCCAGUACCAAAGGUCC
Molecule: non-coding RNA, 27 nt
Filed under: Mus musculus (house mouse)
Lineage: Eukaryota; Metazoa; Chordata; Mammalia; Rodentia; Muridae
Source: RNAcentral